CCUACAGCAAGAGGGAAAACACAGGGCUUCAGACAGUGAGUCAAACACAUCCCCAGCCAGGACCCAAAAUACCACCACAGACAGGGAUAAACGGAUGACGACGUGAGGGAGCUCCCUACACCCACACUCCACUGAAGGCUGCUGCCCGGCUUUGGAUCUUAAUUUACAGAUCAAAACUCUCUAAGUUGCUUCUGAAAUUGGAAUGCUGCACAUCAGUUCUACCAAAGGAUCAUUAGAAGCCAUCACCUACCUCUUCUGGUUUCACAUCUCUGCUAGUGAAAUCCUUUAUGCAAUCCACAAAGCAGUUUUCUGUAAGUUUAUUGUAUGUGCCAAGAAACUCCUUGAACUGUAAAUAAAAAUUGGACAAUGGAUAUUAGG
Taeniopygia guttata (zebra finch) is the source of this 378-nucleotide non-coding RNA. NCBI's taxonomy places the organism in Eukaryota, Metazoa, Chordata, Aves, Passeriformes, Estrildidae. The record is from RefSeq and is a predicted model, not a curated record.